Small nuclear RNA from Dipodomys spectabilis (banner-tailed kangaroo rat), 161 nucleotides. RefSeq annotates it as U1 spliceosomal RNA. The transcript has a single exon. NCBI's taxonomy places the organism in Eukaryota, Metazoa, Chordata, Mammalia, Rodentia, Heteromyidae. The record is from RefSeq and is a predicted model, not a curated record.
AAAAUUACCUAGCAGGGGAAACACCGUGAUCCUGCAGGUGGUUUUUCCAGGGUAAGGCCUGUCCAUUGUACUCGGGGUGCACUGACCUCUGUGAUUUCCCCACAUAGGGGAAACUCAGCUGCAUAAUUUGGGUAGUGGGAGAUUGUGUACACACUCUCCCC